ACAAUGCCUGUGCUGCCCACUUAGAGGCUUGCGUGCCCUACCCUGGAGACACCAAAGCAAGGGGAAAGAGAAAACAAAUGGGGGAGAGAAGCUCUAUGCAUGUCUGUGACUAAGAAGCAAAAAUCACUCAUAAUCCCACAACCCCAAAAUAACAACUACCAACACUCUCUUCUUCAUUUUCCAAUAGUUUAUUCUAUGUAUAUAGUAGAUGUGUUUAGAAUAGAAAAAGAAAGGGGCGCCUGGAUGGCUCAGUCAAUUAAGCGUCCAACUUCAGCCCAGGUCACGAUCUCCCAGUUCAUGGGUUUGGGCCCGCAUCAGGCUGUGUGCUGACAGCUCAGAGCCUGGAGCUUAUUUCGUAUUCUGUCUGUCUGUCUGUCUCUUGCUGUCUCUGUCUCUGUCUCUCUGCCCCUCCCUGGCUCUCACUGUCUCUCUCUCAAAAAUAAAUAAAUAUUAAAAAAAUUUAAAAAAAAAGAAUAGAAAAAGAAAAAGCUGAAUGUAAUGGACUACAAUGUUGAUAAUUGUUUUUGAGUUGUGGAUUAUGGGUGAUUUAUAUUAUCUUGUUAAUACUGUGAAUACAAUUCUUCAUCCUGUAUUUACCUUGCUAUUAUAACAUUAGACCAACCUGCUUUAUUAAUGAUUCUUUGCAAACUGUCUUCAUCGUGGCAGUGUAAUAUUCCAGAGUGAGUGUGCUGUCAUUUAUUUAACCAACUACCUACCAAGUGCUGGGAGGACAGGGGCCAUGUCUAGUUUUAUUCACAUCUGUAUCUCCAGCACUUGGACCAUUGUAGGCACUCAAUUUGCUGAAUGAAGGAAUUGUCAACCACUUAGUUUAUUGCUGGAUGUUUGGGUUUUUCAUUUUUAAAGUUUUAGUGAAAGUAUUUGCCCACAAAUCUCUCUCAUCUCUCUGCUUUUCCCUUACUCCAUGUCAGUUUCUUCUAGGUUCUUCUCUAGCAUCUCUGGUUUGGCCAAAAGUCAAUAAGUAUCAUCAACCAUAACGGCAAGUCUGCCAGCUGCUUCGGCUACAGGUUAAAUGAAGCCAGACCUGGACCCCUGAAAGAUGAAAAUCCAAUAAUCACCAUACUACUUACCAUAGCUUCCUAAUUUCUUCUUGCUUUGUAAAUCUAGGGGAAAACAUGAAAAUAUGAAUAUGAAUGAUUAGUAAGAAAAGCAUUUUGGUUAUGUGUAUUAACAG
This is a long non-coding RNA of Neofelis nebulosa (Clouded leopard), 1192 nucleotides long. RefSeq lists it as uncharacterized. The record is from RefSeq and is a predicted model, not a curated record. NCBI's taxonomy places the organism in Eukaryota, Metazoa, Chordata, Mammalia, Carnivora, Felidae. The transcript is spliced from 2 exons.